ACGUAGGAGGCGAGCGUUAUCCGGAGUUACUGGGCGUAAAGCGCGUGUAGGUGGUUGGAUACGUCUGCUGUGAAAUGUCCCGGCUUAACCGGGAGGGUGCGGCAGAUACGGUCUGACUUGAGGGUGACAGAGGAGCGUAGAAUUCCGGGUGUAGUGGUGAAAUGCGUAGAGAUCCGGAGGAAUACCAAAGGCGUAGGCAGGUCACUGGACAGUUACUGACACUGAGGCACGAAGGCCAGGGGAGCAAACGGGA
Molecule: ribosomal RNA, 253 nt
Filed under: uncultured prokaryote
Description: partial 16S ribosomal RNA
Rfam family: Bacterial small subunit ribosomal RNA
Source: RNAcentral